UCUCUCGGGUUUAAAGGAAGCGAUUCCGGCUACGGAUGGUCAUGUGUCGCAUUAGCUUGUUGGCGGGGUAACGGCCCACCAAGGCGACGAUGCGUAGGGGUUCUGAGAGGAAGGUCCCCCACACUGGUACUGAGACACGGACCAGACUCCUACGGAAGGCAGCAG
This 165-nucleotide ribosomal RNA is filed under the name uncultured bacterium. RNAcentral's name for it is "partial 16S ribosomal RNA". It matches the Rfam family "Bacterial small subunit ribosomal RNA", at positions 191 to 354 of the family's 1533-position model. The record is from RNAcentral.